This 503-nucleotide ribosomal RNA is filed under the name uncultured bacterium. RNAcentral describes it as "partial 16S ribosomal RNA". It matches the Rfam family "Bacterial small subunit ribosomal RNA", at positions 28 to 523 of the family's 1533-position model. The record is from RNAcentral.
GACGAACGCUAGCGGCAGGCCUAACACAUGCAAGUCGAGGGGUAGCAGGAUUAAGCUUGCUUAAAUGCUGACGACCGGCGCACGGGUGCGUAACGCGUAUGCAACCUACCUUAUACUGGGGUAUAGCCCGGAGAAAUUCGGAUUAAUCCCCCAUAGUACUAAUGAAUCGCAUGGUUUAUUAGUUAAAGCAUUGCGGUAUAAGAUGGGCAUGCGUCCUAUUAGCUAGAUGGUGAGGUAACGGCUCACCAUGGCUACGAUAGGUAGGGGGCCUGAGAGGGUGGUCCCCCACACUGGUACUGAGACACGGACCAGACUCCUACGGGAGGCAGCAGUGAGGAAUAUUGGUCAAUGGGCGCAAGCCUGAACCAGCCAUGCCGCGUGCAGGAAGAAUGCCCUAUGGGUUGUAAACUGCUUUUAUUUGGGAAUAAACCUCUUUACGUGUAGAGAGCUGAAGGUACCAAAUGAAUAAGCACCGGCUAACUCCGUGCCAGCAGCCGCGGUAA